AACGAACGCUGGCGGCAGGCCUAACACAUGCAAGUCGAACGAAGUCUUCGGACUUAGUGGCGCACGGGUGAGUAACACGUGGGAAUAUACCUUACGCUGGGGGAUAACAUCGGGAAACUGAUGCUAAUACCGCAUACGCCCUUCGGGGGAAAGAUUUAUCGGCGAAGGAUUAGCCCGCGUCCGAUUAGCUAGUUGGUGAGGUAAUGGCUCACCAAGGCUCCGAUCGGUAGCUGGUCUGAGAGGAUGACCAGCCACACUGGGACUGAGACACGGCCCAGACUCCUACGGGAGGCAGCAGUGGGGAAGAGUGGACAAUGGGCGCAAGCCUGAUCCAGCCAUGCCGCGUGAGUGAUGAAGGCCUUAGGGUUGUAAAGCUCUUUCACCCACGACGAUGAUGACGGUAGUGGGAGAAGAAGCCCCGGCUAACUUCGUG
Molecule: ribosomal RNA, 433 nt
Filed under: uncultured bacterium
Lineage: Bacteria
Description: partial 16S ribosomal RNA
Rfam family: Bacterial small subunit ribosomal RNA
Source: RNAcentral